This 300-nucleotide ribosomal RNA is filed under the name Triticum aestivum (bread wheat). RNAcentral's name for it is "partial small subunit ribosomal RNA". Lineage: Eukaryota; Viridiplantae; Streptophyta; Magnoliopsida; Poales; Poaceae. The record is from RNAcentral.
AUGUGUGUUUGGAAAACAAGCAUGCCUUAUAUUGUUCUGUAUUUAUGUGCAGUCUAUCUGCUGUCAUAUUACUAUGAAAAAGAUCAUAUAUGUUCCAUUUGUCGACCUCUAUUCAACUCAUCUAUGCCCAGGAGCUCGGGCAAACCUUUUUUAGUCCAAUAUCUCUGGACUACCAAGGUUUCAAGAGCACCAGGGUUUGUCAUGUUUGUAUACAUUGUUCAUAUUCACCUUGCCCAUGAUAUGAUUUAUAACUGUAACUCUAUAUCUGAGAAUAAAACUGGUUGUUCCAUUGCAAUAUGA